AUGUAUGAUCCUGGCGACAGCUCCUCGUCCCGGCCGCAUCCGCACGGCAAGGAGGAGCUGCAGCCGGAGGUAUUUCUCUACACGGCGUCAGCUUCAGCAUCGCGCCGCAGAGGGCGCACCUCCGCCGACCGCUACGCCUUGUGCGCCCUGCUGCGCGGCUACGGCCUGGCCGUGGACGUGCGCGACGUGUCCAGGAGCAAAGCGCACCGCAGCGAUCUCAAGUCGUUGCUCGCGGCUCGGGGCUGCGCCUUCUCCCUCCCGCAGCUCCUCGUGGGCGGCCGGCUCGUCGGUGGCCCUGACGAUGUCAGGCAGCUGCACCAGGCCGGUGGGCUGCGGCCUCUCCUCAACGCCGCCCCAAGGCCGAGCCGCGCCUUCGUCUGCCAAGCCUGUAAGACGGUCGGCUCCGAGCCGUGCCCAAAGUGCAGGGAAUCUCGCAACAAGAUGCUGGAUCAUGGCAUUACUGAGGAGGCGGAGGAGAGGGUCGUCCUUUUCUAUCCAACCCAAGAUGUUUCAAUGGGAGGUGUAAGCAGAGAGAUGGAUGCCAGUUUCAGUGUUUCUCUGGGCGCCAUGAGACCUCUUCUUAAGAAGCUUGACAUGAUGCUAGGUCCUCAUGGAUGCAAGCUGACCAAAGGGGUCAAUGAUAGGUCGCCGCACCUCAAAGAUGAUCUUGAAGAAAUAGGCACAUACCUUGAAGAUCUGUUAGAGGUGGAGGACCCUCCCCUGUCAGCCAAGUGCUGGAUGAGAGAGGCACAUGAGUUAUCUUAUGACAUCCUAGAUUGUAUUGAUAACUUUGUGCCCCCCGAGUCUCCUGGCUACAAAUCUAUCCACAAGAUGACUCAUGUUAGGAUUCCCAUGAGGCUAAAGUGGCAGAAACAGAUUGAAUAUGCAGCUCCUGAUGUGUCAGGACAUGUUAUCCCCAAAAUCAUUCAUGUUGAUGUCAUUCGUGCUCCAAGGAGGCUCAAGUGGUACCAGCAGAUGGUUGAAAAGGUAUCGGAAUUCAGGAUCUAUGCCCAGGAGGUGGUAGGACGGUAUGAGAGGUACCAACUCCACCAUUGUAGCACCUUGAUGGCGCGUAGAUUUUCGUCUGUUGGGCCUAUGAUGCCACUGCCGCCACCCCCUUGUGAGAAAACUUUGUCCGGCCUAGUAAUUGAUGGUUGGAUGAGCAAGUUUAUCAACUCCCAGCUGGCUAAUGAUGAGAAUCAGCAGCUCAAGGUGGUGUCUAUUCACGGGUCUGGAUGUCUUGGUAAAACAAUGCUUGCCAAAGUGUUGUACAAUAAAAUUGGGAGGCAAUUCCAAUGUCGGGCUUUCAUCCGGGUGUCCAAAAAGCCUGAUAUGAAGAGGCUUUUCUGUGACAUGCUAUCACAAAUCCAGCGGAAGCAGCCCCAAGCAAGCCAAGACGCUUCUGAUGAACUUCACAUUACUGCUGAAAAUAUCAGGAAUUGUCUACAUGGCAAUAGGUAUCUUAUUGUUGUUGAUGAUUUACGGGAUACAGCAGCAUGGGAUGUUAUUAAUCAGCUUUUCCCCAAGUGUAGUCAAGGAAGCAGAAUAAUAACAACUACACAAAUUGAAGAUGUUGCAUUAGCAUGUUGCAGUGAUGACCCAGAACAAGUUUUUGAGAUGAAUCCUUUGGAUGAUGAUCACUCAAGGAAGCUAUUCUUUGACAGGCUUUUUGGUUCUGAAAGUGACUGUCCUGAAGAAUUCAAACAAGUUUCAAGCCAAAUUGUAGAAAUAUGUGGUGGUUUGCCGCUAGCCACCAUCAGCAUUGCUAGUCUGCUGGCAAACCAGCCUUCUUUAUCAGUGGAUUUGUUGACACACAUACAUGAUUCGUUAGUGUCUUGUUUGUCAUCAAAUUCGACUUCAGAAAGAACGAAACAAGUACUAAACCUGAGCUACAACAGCCUUCCUCAUUACCUCAAGACAUGCUUGCUCCAGCUCUGUAUGUAUCCAGAGGGCUCCAUAAUCUUCAAACAUGACCUGGUGAAGCAAUGGGUGGCUGAAAGGUUUAUUUCUACAAGUGAAGGGCAAAACAUGGAGGAAGUUGCAGGGAUGUAUUUCGAUGAGCUUGUUGAUAGAAGAUUCAUCCAGCCCAUGUAUAUGAACUUCAACAAUGAGGUGGUGUCCUGCACAGUGCAUGACUUGGUACAUGAUUUUAUUGCACACAAGUCUGCAGAAGAGAAUUUCGUUGUGGUAGUAGAUCACAAUCGGAAGAUUUUGGCACUUUCUCAUAAGAUCCAUCGACUCUCUCUUCAACUUGGUGAUGCAAAAUAUGCCAAGAUUCCAGCAAACAUCAGAAAGUCGCAAGUACGUUCACUUGGAGUUUUUGGAUUACCAGAGUGCAUGCCUUGCAUUGCAGAGUUCAAGCUUGUUCGUGUUCUAAACCUUCAGCUGUCUGGUCGUCGUCAUGGUAACCAAGACCUGUCCAUAGACCUCUCUAGAGUAUCAGAACUGUUCCAUCUGAGAUAUCUGAAGAUUGUUUGUGAUGUCUGCAUAAAACUUCCAAACCGUAUGAGAGGGCUGCAGUGUUUGGAAACACUGGAUGUGAUGGAUACACCAAGAGGCACUUAUGUUCCAUGGGACAUUAUAUAUCUCACACGCUUGUUGCACCUCGGUCUUCCUCCUGACACAAAUAUGCUGGAUUGGGCUGUCGGUGACGGUCUGAGCCUUUGCAGGCCGAACCACCUGCAGGAUCUUUGCAUUUCUACACCGCUUUCUUCAGAUUACGACCAUCUGAAGAGAAACAUGCAUGCUAUGGAUUAUUUAAGGUAUGAACAUGAAAGCCUGAAAGCUAUAAAACUGGUGGCUCACGGAUCCUCGGUUAGCUAUGGUGACGCAUCAAAAGCAAGAGUUAAGUGGGUUUUGGAUCACCCGCAAAAAAAUAAAAAAUUGUGGUGGUGUGCCGUCAGCACUACUUUGCAUGUUUUCAGCAAUGGCAAUGGUCCGAGAGCAACAAGAACAACUAGGAGUACAUGUAAAGGCAUGUAA
RNAcentral lists this ribosomal RNA (2982 nucleotides) under Triticum aestivum (bread wheat). Its description in RNAcentral is "partial small subunit ribosomal RNA". Lineage: Eukaryota; Viridiplantae; Streptophyta; Magnoliopsida; Poales; Poaceae. The record is from RNAcentral.